This 406-nucleotide ribosomal RNA is filed under the name uncultured bacterium. Its description in RNAcentral is "partial 16S ribosomal RNA". It matches the Rfam family "Bacterial small subunit ribosomal RNA", at positions 30 to 526 of the family's 1533-position model. The record is from RNAcentral.
AUUGAACGCUGGCGGCAAGCCUAACACAUGCAAGUCGAACGAGUGGCGGACGGGUGAGUAAUGUAUGGGAAACUGCCUGAUGGAGGGGGAUAACUACUGGAAACGGUAGCUAAUACCGCAUACCAUCGGAUGUGCCCAGCUGGGAUUAGCGAGUAGGUGGGGUAAAGGCUCACCUAGGCGACGAUCCCUAGCUGGUCUGAGAGGAUGAGCAGCCAAACUGGAACUUAGACACGGUCCAGACGCCUACGGGAGGCAGCAGGGGGGAAUAUUGCACAAUGGGCGCAAGCCUGAUCCAGCCAUGCCGCGUGUGUGAAGAAGGUCUUCGGAUUGUAAAGCACUUUAAGUGGGGAGGCGUUACCCGCAGAAGAAGCACCGGCUAACUCCGUGCCAGCAGCGGCGGUAAUUC